GGUGAUGAAGCCCAUCUGGUAGGGCACCUGACUGUAAAUCAGACGCGGUAACGCAUUGCAGGUUCAAAUCCUGUCAUCACCAC
This 83-nucleotide transfer RNA is filed under the name Deinococcus roseus. RNAcentral describes it as "tRNA-Tyr". It matches the Rfam family "tRNA". Rfam says of the family: Transfer RNA (tRNA) molecules are approximately 80 nucleotides in length. Their secondary structure includes four short double-helical elements and three loops (D, anti-codon, and T loops). Lineage: Bacteria; Thermotogati; Deinococcota; Deinococci; Deinococcales; Deinococcaceae. The record is from RNAcentral.